ACUCAACACAAAUUAAUUCAAAAGGGUAAGUAUAGACACUAGAGCGUGCUGGCUCCAUGUAAGCCCAGAUUCUCGACUGUUUAUUUAGCCCUAAACCUUUUUAAAUGGAGUUU
RNAcentral lists this small RNA (113 nucleotides) under Flavobacteriaceae bacterium. RNAcentral describes it as "6S RNA". It matches the Rfam family "6S-Flavo RNA". The record is from RNAcentral. Lineage: Bacteria; Pseudomonadati; Bacteroidota; Flavobacteriia; Flavobacteriales; Flavobacteriaceae.